This is a long non-coding RNA of Eurytemora carolleeae, 223 nucleotides long. RefSeq lists it as uncharacterized. NCBI's taxonomy places the organism in Eukaryota, Metazoa, Arthropoda, Copepoda, Calanoida, Temoridae. The transcript has 2 exons. The record is from RefSeq and is a predicted model, not a curated record.
AAGGUUAUUAUCUAAUAAAACCUAAUUUACACCAACUCUGUAAUACCUACAAUGAACUAGUGCUUAUGGUUCUUUACAUUCGCAGGAGAAGUUACACUGUACAUGGAGAACUUGAAACCUGAUAAACACUAAUUGAAGACAUUUGGAUCAGCGUGUGAGAAAACCAAACCGCCAUCAAAUCUUCACAGCUAGAUGAUCAAGAAAUAAAUUCUAAAACUAUGUA